GAACGCAGGCUUGAAUUCGUGGGUAACCCGGCAGGACGCCGGGUUAGCCGCACUGGGCCAUGGAUGGCCCAUUGCGGCGGCCCACGGAUUCAAGCCGGAGUGA
This is a non-coding RNA of Pseudomonas fluorescens ABAC62, 103 nucleotides long. The record is from Rfam. Lineage: Bacteria; Pseudomonadati; Pseudomonadota; Gammaproteobacteria; Pseudomonadales; Pseudomonadaceae.